UACGAAGGUCCCAAGCGUUAUCCGGAUUUAUUGGGUUUAAAGGGUGCGUAGGCGGCUUUUUAAGUCAGUGGUGAAAGCCUGAAGCUCAACUUCAGAAUUGCCAUUGAUACUGAAGAGCUUGAGUAUGGUUGAGGUGGGCGGAAUGUGUCAUGUAGCGGUGAAAUGCUUAGAUAUGACACAGAACACCGAUUGCGAAGGCAGCUCACUAAGCCAUAACUGACGCUGAUGCACGAAAGCGUGGGGAGCAAACAGG
RNAcentral lists this ribosomal RNA (253 nucleotides) under uncultured bacterium. RNAcentral's name for it is "partial 16S ribosomal RNA". It matches the Rfam family "Bacterial small subunit ribosomal RNA", at positions 524 to 776 of the family's 1533-position model. The record is from RNAcentral.